GGGGCUCAGAGGUUUUACUGAAACCAUCAAGUUGAUGAUUGUGCUCUUGAGAAAAUUGGGAGAUUACCCAUUUUCCAUUUUCAACUGUACACCUGAUCCUAGCUCUGCAGCCUGUUCUAGUUUCUUUUCUCUUGAACUUGGUUAUCUUGUUGACCUGCUUCUUUGACCGAAACCCUUCUUUUGAACAAAAAAAGAACCGUUCUCUAAUGCUUCCAUUGGAUGAUCGCCGCACCUUUCCUUUUCUUACAAUGAAACCAAUUCCUUUAGCAUAUUUUUUGUAAAAUUCAUAAGCCUCAUCAUCAGAAGAGAAUACCAUUCCAAGUUCUGGUACUUGAAAAUGAUCUUUCUGAGUUCCUUCUCUCAAGAUGAAAGUUGAUAAGGCUUGUAUCUCAUCUUCAUUUGUGUUAGAUGAUAGUGAAUCAUCUUC
This 427-nucleotide unclassified non-coding RNA is filed under the name Hevea brasiliensis (rubber tree). The record is from RNAcentral. Lineage: Eukaryota; Viridiplantae; Streptophyta; Magnoliopsida; Malpighiales; Euphorbiaceae.